UACGUAGGGGGCAAGCGUUGUCCGGAUUUAUUGGGCGUAAAGCGCUCGCAGGCGGUCCGAUGCGUCGUGCGUGAAAGCCCCCGGCUCAACUGGGGAGGGUCGUGCGAUACGGUCGGACUUGAGGCCAGUAGGGGGAUGCGGAAUUCCGGGUGUAGUGGUGGAAUGCGUAGAGAUGCGGAGGAACACCGAUGGCGAAGGCAGGCCCCUGGGCUGACACUGAGGCACGAAAGCUAGGGGAGCAAACAGG
RNAcentral lists this ribosomal RNA (247 nucleotides) under uncultured bacterium. Its description in RNAcentral is "partial 16S ribosomal RNA". It matches the Rfam family "Bacterial small subunit ribosomal RNA", at positions 524 to 776 of the family's 1533-position model. The record is from RNAcentral.